UACGAAGGGGGCUAGCGUUGUUCGGACUCACUGGGCGUAAAGCGCACGUAGGCGGAUUUGUUAGUCAGGGGUGAAAUCCCGGGGCUCAACCUCGGAACUGCCUUUGAUACUGCAAGUCUCGAGUCCGGAAGAGGUGAGUGGAAUUCCUAGUGUAGAGGUGAAAUUCGUAGAUAUUAGGAAGAACACCAGUGGCGAAGGCGGCUCACUGGUCCGGUACUGACGCUGAGGUGCGAAAGCGUGGGGAGCAAACAGG
RNAcentral lists this ribosomal RNA (253 nucleotides) under uncultured bacterium. RNAcentral's name for it is "partial 16S ribosomal RNA". It matches the Rfam family "Bacterial small subunit ribosomal RNA", at positions 524 to 776 of the family's 1533-position model. The record is from RNAcentral.